RNAcentral lists this ribosomal RNA (1176 nucleotides) under Staphylococcus sp. NCCP-2668. RNAcentral's name for it is "bacterial SSU rRNA". It matches the Rfam family "Bacterial small subunit ribosomal RNA", at positions 56 to 1203 of the family's 1533-position model. Lineage: Bacteria; Bacillati; Bacillota; Bacilli; Caryophanales; Staphylococcaceae. The record is from RNAcentral.
UGCAAGUCGUACGCUUCUUUUUCCACCGGAGCUUGCUCCACCGGAAAAAGAGGAGUGGCGAACGGGUGAGUAACACGUGGGUAACCUGCCCAUCAGAAGGGGAUAACACUUGGAAACAGGUGCUAAUACCGUAUAACAAUCGAAACCGCAUGGUUUUGAUUUGAAAGGCGCUUUCGGGUGUCGCUGAUGGAUGGACCCGCGGUGCAUUAGCUAGUUGGUGAGGUAACGGCUCACCAAGGCCACGAUGCAUAGCCGACCUGAGAGGGUGAUCGGCCACAUUGGGACUGAGACACGGCCCAAACUCCUACGGGAGGCAGCAGUAGGGAAUCUUCGGCAAUGGACGAAAGUCUGACCGAGCAACGCCGCGUGAGUGAAGAAGGUUUUCGGAUCGUAAAACUCUGUUGUUAGAGAAGAACAAGGAUGAGAGUAACUGUUCAUCCCUUGACGGUAUCUAACCAGAAAGCCACGGCUAACUACGUGCCAGCAGCCGCGGUAAUACGUAGGUGGCAAGCGUUGUCCGGAUUUAUUGGGCGUAAAGCGAGCGCAGGCGGUUUCUUAAGUCUGAUGUGAAAGCCCCCGGCUCAACCGGGGAGGGUCAUUGGAAACUGGGAGACUUGAGUGCAGAAGAGGAGAGUGGAAUUCCAUGUGUAGCGGUGAAAUGCGUAGAUAUAUGGAGGAACACCAGUGGCGAAGGCGGCUCUCUGGUCUGUAACUGACGCUGAGGCUCGAAAGCGUGGGGAGCAAACAGGAUUAGAUACCCUGGUAGUCCACGCCGUAAACGAUGAGUGCUAAGUGUUGGAGGGUUUCCGCCCUUCAGUGCUGCAGCUAACGCAUUAAGCACUCCGCCUGGGGAGUACGACCGCAAGGUUGAAACUCAAAGGAAUUGACGGGGGCCCGCACAAGCGGUGGAGCAUGUGGUUUAAUUCGAAGCAACGCGAAGAACCUUACCAGGUCUUGACAUCCUUUGACCACUCUAGAGAUAGAGCUUCCCCUUCGGGGGCAAAGUGACAGGUGGUGCAUGGUUGUCGUCAGCUCGUGUCGUGAGAUGUUGGGUUAAGUCCCGCAACGAGCGCAACCCUUAUUGUUAGUUGCCAUCAUUCAGUUGGGCACUCUAGCAAGACUGCCGGUGACAAACCGGAAGAAAGGUGGGGAUGACGUCAAAUCAUCAUGCCCCUU